UACAGAGGGUGCGAGCGUUAAUCGGAAUUACUGGGCGUAAAGCGCGCGUAGGCGGCUUUGCAAGUCGGGUGUGAAAUCCCCAGGCUCAACCUGGGAACUGCAUUCGAGACUGCAUUGCUAGAGUAUGGGAGAGGGAAGUGGAAUUUCCGGUGUAGCGGUGAAAUGCGUAGAUAUCAGGAGGGAUACCGAUGGCGAAGGCAGGUCUCUGGGCUAUAACUGACGCUCAUGCACGAAAGCGUGGGGAGCAAACAGG
This 253-nucleotide ribosomal RNA is filed under the name uncultured bacterium. RNAcentral describes it as "partial 16S ribosomal RNA". It matches the Rfam family "Bacterial small subunit ribosomal RNA", at positions 524 to 776 of the family's 1533-position model. The record is from RNAcentral.